UCCUACGGGAGGCAGCAGUAGGGAAUCUUCCGCAAUGGACGAAAGUCUGACGGAGCAACGCCGCGUGAGUGAUGAAGGCUUUCGGGUCGUAAAACUCUGUUGUUAGGGAAGAACAAGUGCUAGUUGAAUAAGCUGGCACCUUGACGGUACCUAACCAGAAAGCCACGGCUAACUACGUGCCAGCAGCCGCGGUAAUACGUAGGUGGCAAGCGUUAUCCGGAAUUAUUGGGCGUAAAGCGCGCGCAGGCGGUUUCUUAAGUCUGAUGUGAAAGCCCACGGCUCAACCGUGGAGGGUCAUUGGAAACUGGGAGACUUGAGUGCAGAAGAGGAAAGUGGAAUUCCAUGUGUAGCGGUGAAAUGCGUAGAGAUAUGGAGGAACACCAGUGGCGAAGGCGACUUUCUGGUCUGUAACUGACACUGAGGCGCGAAAGCGUGGGGAGCAAACAGGAUUAGAUACCCUGGUAGUCCACGCCGUAAACGAUGAGUGCUAAGUGUUAGAGGGUUUCCGCCCUUUAGUGCUGAAGUUAACGCAUUAAGCACUCCGCCUGGGGAGUACGGCCGCAAGGCUGAAACUCAAAGGAAUUGACGGA
RNAcentral lists this ribosomal RNA (590 nucleotides) under uncultured bacterium. RNAcentral describes it as "bacterial SSU rRNA". It matches the Rfam family "Bacterial small subunit ribosomal RNA", at positions 337 to 917 of the family's 1533-position model. The record is from RNAcentral.